ACCAACACGGACGCAAAACCAUCGCCCCCGAAUCCUAAACCCUAGAACACACACAGCACACGAACGUUACAAGGCUCUCUCUUCCCGUCCUCUCUCGAAACUGCCUACAGAAGAGGGCAGGGCGAGAUCCAGGAGUUCCUCUGUCCCCGUCGGCAAGACCGGUGGUCUCCUUCACCUCCGGUGGCCAUUAUGGCUGCCGGAGGGGUGGGAGAUCCCGGAUCUGAUGCCUGGCGGUGUAUAUAGUCCUAGAUUUUCUAGGUUUGGUGUCCUUUGCACCGGCGUCAUGGCGGAGGAGGCGUCGGUGUGCGGAAUAAAGUGGCCAUGUCUCCUUCUUCGCUCGCCCGGCGUCGUUCUUGGCACUGGCGAGGAGCUGGGGUCCUUUUGGUCUCGCGGAUCUGAGUGUUUACGAUCCUGCGAGUUGGUCGUCGUCGUCGUCGGUCACCGCUGGGCUCUUUGGUGUGGCGAGACGGCGAGGGGGGUCGAGGAUUCUGACCCAUGGCGUUCGCGGCUUUGGCCCUGUGGAGCGGUGGUUGGGGCUUGUCCGCUUCUUCGGCUCCAUGGGAAGAUGCUUCUGGCGCUUCUUUUGUUGUGGAUGCGGGAGGUGGCUACGACAGGGAUGAAGGACUGGAGGUUGUUCAUCGGCGAUUGGUCUUUGAACCUGCUUCAGCGAAGCUGGCCGAUGCGGAUCUGGUGCGGCAUGGGGCGUUGCUCCGGCCGCCUGGGCUUUUCAGCUCUGCUCAAGAUCUCGCCUCUCGCGGCGGGCUACGAUUGUGCGGCUCACAAAGCUUACAAGCGAUGGUGCUUCUCCGGAUCUAAAGGGGUUGGUCGCUUUUCUUCUCUCUCCGGCGGCGACGACGGCGAGAUGGGGGUAGCAGCGGCUGUGUGGUUGAGUUGGAUUUGGUGUUCUUCCGUAUCCUGCGUGGAUGUACUCGUAUCUACUGUAUGUCUCCUUGUAAUGUUUUCCUUAACAUAAUAUAAUCACGAGUAUUUCCCUCAAAAAAAAAAAAACACGGACGCAAAACCUGUCGCUCCUUUCCUUUCUUCCCGAAGUCUCUUCUUCUCGAUCGCCAGCCCACAACCGACACCCAAGGCCAAAACCCGACGAGAUCCUCUUCUCCAUCCACCUCCACUCCAUCCACGGAGAGCAAGGCAGGCGAUCGCGCCACGACCGUCGAUCCCCCCGUCCGUCGAGGUAUGAGACAGGAGGCCGCCAGCCUGGUGGUCACCCGCGACGAACACCAGCCGCGCCACCACAACCGCCCGCCGCCUCCCGAGGAGGAGGAGGAGGAGGAGGAGGACACGGGCGCCGUGGCCCCGCCGUCCUGCGCGGCGAUCCUGCUGCGGCGGGAGGGCGGCGAGGCCGAGGCGGGGGAAGGCGAGGAGCCGCUGCAGCUGGUCCCGCCGCUCAACUUCGCCAUGGUGGACCACGGCGUGUACCGCUCCGGGUUCCCGGACGCCUCCAACCUGCCGUUCCUCGAGAACCUUCGCCUCCGCUCCGUCCUGUGCCUCUGCCCGGAGCCGUACCCGGAGGCCAACCAGGAGUUCCUCCGUGCCCACGGGAUCAGGCUGUUCCAACUCGGAAUCGACGGCUCCAAGGUUAAUGCAAAUCCCUUCUCCUUAUGGGCAUGGGCAUCCUUGGCUAAACCUCCUCGAAGGAACCCUUUGUGAGCAUUCCCGAAGACAGAAUCCGCGAGGCUCUGAAAGUUAUUCUAGACACAAGAAACCACCCGGUGCUUAUUCACUGCAAGCGUGGAAAGCAUCGAACUGGCUGCGUUGUUGGAUGCUUGAGGAAACUGUAGCGCUGGUGUCUAACAUCAGUAUUCGACGAAUACCAGCGUUUUGCUGCUGCGAAAGCAAGAGUUUCUGAUCUAAGGUUUAUUGAGCUAUUCGACGUCUCAAGCUUAAAGCAUUUACCUGCGUCUUUCUCAUGUUGAGCAAGAAGCAUACAGUACAUGGCAGCCUCUGGGGGCCCAGAUUGGCAUUUCUUUCGCGUAUCUAGUAACAUGGCCGAUAAGAAAUAACUGUUAAUACUACUUUUGAUUCUGUUUUUGGCUCACAAAUCAUGAAGUUGACCCUGACAAGUUAAACAUUGUAAAUCAUUUUUGAAGCUAGGGUAGAUAUUAGAUAGGCCGCAUGAGUUAUAUUCUCACCGUUGCUGCAUUUAUCAUAUGUUUGCUGGCAUUAUGUAAGCAUGUAAUAAUAGUCUGUAAUUAUUGUUAUGUUGUAUACUAAAUAAAACUCAGUCUGGCAAGCAAACCUUGUGUUAUAUUUGGUAUUGUCAAUUGGAUCUGUCCAGUUUUUGGCA
Triticum aestivum (bread wheat) is the source of this 2305-nucleotide RNA transcript. It is a transcript of the gene named tyrosine-protein phosphatase DSP1, with no coding region annotated. Lineage: Eukaryota; Viridiplantae; Streptophyta; Magnoliopsida; Poales; Poaceae. The transcript is spliced from 5 exons. The record is from RefSeq and is a predicted model, not a curated record.